Molecule: ribosomal RNA, 248 nt
Filed under: uncultured bacterium
Lineage: Bacteria
Description: partial 16S ribosomal RNA
Rfam family: Bacterial small subunit ribosomal RNA
Source: RNAcentral
UAGUCCACGCCGUAAACGAUGGGUACUAGGUGUAGGAGGUAUCGACCCCUUCUGUGCCGGAGUUAACGCAAUAAGUACCCCGCCUGGGGAGUACGGUCGCAAGAUUAAAACUCAAAGGAAUUGACGGGGGCCCGCACAAGCGGUGGAGUAUGUGGUUUAAUUCGACGCAACGCGAAGAACCUUACCAGGUCUUGACAUUGAUCGCUAUCCGCAGAGACGCGGAGUUCUCCUUCGGGAGACGAGAAAAC